This 2559-nucleotide unclassified non-coding RNA is filed under the name Actinia tenebrosa (Australian red waratah sea anemone). RNAcentral describes it as "hemicentin-1-like, transcript variant X1". The record is from RNAcentral. Lineage: Eukaryota; Metazoa; Cnidaria; Anthozoa; Actiniaria; Actiniidae.
AAAACCAAUAAAAUCAAGUCAAGAGCAAAAGGAAAAGCUGAGGAAAAGCUUCGAUAAUAAACAUAUUUUGGGCUACCUGUGUUAACUCUCAUGUUUGCGUUACCAGAUAUAAUCUACAUAAAGUGAUCAAACAUUAAAGGUCAUCUACAGCCAAGUAAUGAUCAGCAUAUAUAACUUCUAUCUCAGAACGUAAACAUUAUCGCUCGCUUUUUUACAGGGCAUUUUAUCGUUUUCCAGAGAGCUUACAACGAGCUUACAAGAUGGGAGCUUUUCAAUUACCAAUCAUGUACACUUAUAUUUCCUUUGUUUUCAGUGUACUUAUUUUACUUCCGCCUGAAGCACAUGGCGCCAUAAACUCUAUCAUACGAAAUGUUGGUCAAGAUUUUGUCUUUAUGUGGAACAGAACAAGUGGUAAUAUAGUGGAAGUGAGAUGGGGAUUGGUGGAUCCAGUAGAUAACCAAGGGAUAAAACCACAGUUCAUAUAUGUCAACAAAUGGGCCAACGUUGCUGUCUAUAGCGCUGCCUUGGAUACCCCAGCUGCAUCGAGUUAUAAAGGAAGAGUUUAUUACGUGGGAGACUUGCCUGCUGGUCGUGCUUGGUUCCAAAUAACCAACCUUAGUAUCAGUGAUGCCAAGGAAUAUGCUGUUAGCAUCUUGGAAGGAAGUGUUUACACGAUAUACAAAAUGGGCCUGACUGUGACAGUAACUCCCCAGUUCCAGCCACAGCCACCACUGACACAGAACAUAGCAGAAGGUCAAGAUUUGAGUGUGCCUUGCACUGCUGUUGGUCCACCAAUACCUAACAUUACGUGGGUGCAGAUAGUAGGUCACGUGACCAAGAUUACAGGAACAGGAAGUGCAACACUGAGGAUACCAAAUAUAAGAAGAGAUCAGAAUGGGACGUACGAGUGUCAGGCCAGUAACAACCCUAAUGAGAAUCCAGUCACUGCACAGACUGUUGUGUCUGUUUAUUAUCCUCCCCGAACCACCAUUACUCCUCCAAUUAUCACAGUUGUAGAAGGUGAUGAGAUCGUACUCAGCUGUACAGCAGAUGGUUAUCCACCACCAUCCAUAUCAUGGAAGAAGGCUGACGGUGUCAUCAAAGCUGGUCACACAGUAGGUGGGGGAACACUUAGAAUACCUGAUGCUAUCAAAACAGAUGCUGGGCAGUACAUAUGUACAGCAAAGAACGCCUACGACAGCAGAGAACACACUAACAAUGCAAAUGCAACUGUUAUAGUUAAAUACCAGCCCUUGAUCAUGUUGGAAAAGUUACUUAACCAAACCGUGAAUGAGAGCGACUCCCUGAGUAUCAAGUGCGAAGCAGAUGGAAACCCACUACCAACCAUCAAAUGGAAGACCCCAACAGGAUCUGUCCACACUGGGAAUGUCUACAGCAUCCCGUCAGUCAGCAAAUCACAUGCAGGGACAUACACGUGUACAGCUAGUAACGGGAUAGGGAGAGAUGCAAUGACCAGUAUACAAGUUACUGUGCAGUAUCCACCUGAUAUUGAUGCAUCAAAGUCUAGUCUUCUAUUCAAGGCAUGGAAUGGUAAAAGUAUUCGACUCAGAUGUUUAGCAACUGGUUUACCUGCACCAUGGAUAUCAUGGUACAAACCAACAAAUCAACAGAUCACUACAGGUGUCAACAUUGUACCCGGGGGUAGUGAGGUAACAGUACUGACAACUGCUGACCAAGGGGACUAUGGACAGUACAAGUGUCGAGCAACAAACAUCCUUGGAAGUGAUGAACAAUUCAUCAAUGUCAUUCAGCUGUUUCCCCCAGGUCUUGUUACCAUAAAUGUUAUCGAGGUAGAAGCAUUAUCCAUGAAAAUUACAUGGAACAAACCUGGUAAUGAUGGUGGAAGACCUGUCAUUGGUUACAAGGUUGAAGUAAGUACCAAGCCACCAGUUUUCACUGUGAAUACCCAAGCUGUUAUAACAGGACUCAAAGCAAACACCCAGUACACGGUCAAAGUGUAUGCUCGGAACAUUGCUGGGUAUGGUCAACAACUGAUGAAGGUCAUCACUACCAAGAAACAAGGUAAACCAGGUGUUCCUCAAUUAACAAUUAGCAUCAACGAUACAGCAGAAUUAUUUAUCAGAUUGACAUGGACAAAACCUAAUGAUAAUGGAGGAGAUCUAAUCAAGUUUACCAUCUACAUGAAAGAGGAUGAUGAAUUUAAUUGUACAAAAGCAAAGGAUAUCCUUGAUUUAUCAGUUCUGGAGUAUACAUUAAGAAAAAGUGUUGAUUACGGAAAGAACUAUACGUUUCUAGUGACUGCAUGGAAUAAAUACGGAGAAAGUAUGAAAGAUGAUGUGAUGGCGAAGACAAUAUCCAUACCUCAGAUUAAACCAACAUGUGAAACGAACACACGUGGUAACGCUAAGACCAGUAUUGAGGACACAAGUGGAAAACACUCAAAAUAACACGGAAGAAACAGCUUUAAGGAAACGAAAACAAAUAAGCAAGAAGAGGUUGAUCAAACAUACGACAACGCAAUGGAAUUGAGCGUGAACACGUCAUCAUCGUCUGGCAUGAAAUCGGGAUUUAGUCCAA